Long non-coding RNA from Heterocephalus glaber (naked mole-rat), 844 nucleotides. The record is from Ensembl. NCBI's taxonomy places the organism in Eukaryota, Metazoa, Chordata, Mammalia, Rodentia, Bathyergidae.
AAUUGCUCUCCACCCAGUGCCCCGGGGACCAGAGUGCCCAGGGCAUUAGCCUCGCUGGCCCUGCAGGGGACAGGGAAUCUUCUCCUUGCUUUGGCCCUGAUCCCAAUCCUGGUAAGCAACAGAAGCAACUGCUGCGUCUCAGCUACAACCUGGAGCCAGAGGGUUGGCCCUGCCUGCCUCCCCUCAGAGUGUGUGGCAGUGUGGACACCCUGAGCAGUGUGACCUUAGUCGCAGGGAGCCUAGAUACCACCCAGGGACAUGUAUCUUGGUGACUGCAGCAAGAUAUACACAGAGGCAAGGAGACUGCAGAAACUUCGACUUUGGUAAGCUCAGCCAAAAGGCUUUUCAUGUCUUUAUUCCUUUCCUCUCUCUCCCUGUCUCAAAUCCUUUAACUUUUUCCUGGUACUAGUUAGCAGGGAGAGGCAGGGAACUGGAGAGUGGAGGAGCAUAGUGAGAGGGGGGAAAGGGAUGCCUGUGGUCUGCGUGUUUCAGGAGCACGCAGCCAGCUGGAAGGGCACCGCUUCAGCAAGCCCUUCUCAGCUGUCUGCCGCUGCCUUCCCCAGUCCUAGCACUGCGGUGCUUCUUGUCCAGUCCCUUCUCGGUGUUGCUUCCCUAAUCUAGUUUAUUUCCUCCUUCCCUCAUAUUUGAUGUCUGUAUUCUUACAAUUUUGGCUGUAAGUUUAUCUCCCUGUCUAAAUUGAUACGUGCUCGGUAGUUACUAAGUUACAUUUCUGGACUUUUUAAACCCUCUGUGAGUUCCGUGUGUGUGUGUGUGUGUGUGUGUGUGUGUGUGUGUGUGUGUGUGUGUUACAGUUUCCCUAAAUAUAAAGAUCGUUGUAGUAGAG